AUGGGGACACCAUGGGGAUGCUUUGAGGACUCUAUGGGGCCAAUAUGGGGACGCUAUGGGGUUAGUACUCUAUGGGGAUGCUAUGGGGCCAAUACAGGGAUGCUAUGGGGUCGCUAUGGGGUCGCCCCGCAGGAGGAGCAGCAGCGCGCACACGAGGCGUGGAUGGAGCGAGCGGAGCAGGAGCUGCUGGAGCUGCAGAGGAACCUUCCAGAAAAACGCAGCCGGGGGAGGGAGCUGGAGGAGCAGCGGCUGCACAGGGAGCACCUGGAGUACGAGGUGGGAAGGGGGGCUUGGGGUGACGGGGACCCCGUCUGGGGGGCGCUUGUGGGGUCAAAGGAGCUGCCUGGGGGCAGAUAUGGGGUCAGAAGUGCAAAGGGGGCACUUUGGGGUCUUGGGGGCAGAUACGAGGCCAGAGGGACCACAUUUGGGGUGCUUGGGGGUCUUGGGGGCAGAUAUGGGGUCAGAGGGGUCACAUUUGGGGUGGUUAGGUGUCUUGGGGGGCAGAUAUGGGGUCAAAGAACUGCACUGGGGGCACUUUGGGGUUUUGGGGGGAGAGGGUUGUUGUGGGGCCAAUAUGGGGACACUUUGGGGUCACUAUGGGGUCACCAUUUAGAUAACCAUAGGGACUCUAUAGGUCACUAUGGGGACUCUAUGGGGGCACCAUGGGGAUGCUUUGAGGACUCUAUGGGGAUGCUAUGGGGCCAAUACAGGGAUGCUAUGGGGUCGCUAUGGGGUCGCCCCGCAGGAGGAGCAGCAGCGCGCACACGAGGCGUGGAUGGAGCGAGCGGAGCAGGAGCUGCUGGAGCUGCAGAGGAACCUUCCAGAAAAACGCAGCCGGGGGAGGGAGCUGGAGGAGCAGCGGCUGCACAGGGAGCACCUGGAGUACGAGUGCCGGCGCUACGAGACCUACGUGAGGCUGCUGGAGACGUGGCUGAACGCAGAGCGGGACCUCGAGAGCUGGGAAGGGGGGGGCCCUCCUGAGCCCCCCACCCUCACCCGGGCCCAUUCCAGCCCCGCACUG
RNAcentral lists this long non-coding RNA (1021 nucleotides) under Chrysolophus pictus (golden pheasant). RNAcentral's name for it is "lncRNA (ENSCPIG00010009929.1)". The record is from RNAcentral. Lineage: Eukaryota; Metazoa; Chordata; Aves; Galliformes; Phasianidae.